This 1089-nucleotide long non-coding RNA is filed under the name Castor canadensis (American beaver). RNAcentral's name for it is "lncRNA (ENSCCNG00000019223.1)". Lineage: Eukaryota; Metazoa; Chordata; Mammalia; Rodentia; Castoridae. The record is from RNAcentral.
GAUUUAAAGAUUUUUUUUUUUAAAUUUAGAAUAAUCUAUCAACAUUAGAGUCACAAGCAAACAGUAGUUAAUUGAAGCGGAUUUCCAAGCUGUACCUGUGGGCUUCUUUUCCAGAGUUCAAGGUGCAGACUCUGAGCCAUGCUUUGGGGUCACUCAUGCACCCCGUCCUGCUGAUUCUACCUAAGCUGUUGGACUCGUAACCCACUCUGCACUUGAGAACAUGGGAAUAAGGGAUGAAACAAGUGACCCUAACUGGCAAGAUGUCAAGAAUCAAGUUUCUUUAGUUUGUGCCAAACCAAAACACUGUCUAUUCUCAGACUUAAAGCUGCCUGAACCUUCUUUAGUUUAUCAAAAAGGCCCAGACAGAAGACUGGUGCUGCUCUGCUACUAUGAAGAGCAGAUCGUCCCCUCCCUCCUUCUUGACACUCACCGUUGGGUUUUGUGUGACAGCAUGUGCCACCUGUGUUGGCUCCAUCUUUGCUCCAAUACUGAGUCAUCUUGCUCCUCCUGCAUGUCUUCCAGGGUGUGGGGGAACUGAGUACCUGUUUUUUGCAAGCAGAUAGAUGGAUAUCACUUUGGAAUUGAUUUGACAUACUUCCCAGUACCAGGCUGGGUGCUAGACGCCGGGGAUGACUAUAAAUGUUCUCAGUUAUCAUUGUUCAUAACUUAAAACUUUGGGUAACUAAAAUACUGUGUGAUCUUGAACAAAUAAUUUAACCUCUCUCUGAAAUACUUCACAAGGUAAUUGUACUAAGUGGUUGGGAUUACAUAUGAAAACAACAUAAACCCUGGGUCAUAGUUGCAAGUGUAGACUGAGUUUGUGUGGAUAUGCAAAUGGACAAAUGGACCCAAGUCAACGUCCUCUGCCUCUGCCGUUUGUUAAGUGAGAAAGGUCAUUGCCAAGUGAAAAAGGACUUAUACCUUUAAUUUUGCUUGGAAGUCUCCAUUCAAAAUGAAAAGGUACUUCAGGGAUAAUCCAUCAAUAGAUCCCAUAACAUACUUCACAGUCAAGGAGAAAAUAACAUGAACAAAGGAAGGAAGAAAAUUAGAUUAAAUAAAACGUCUUUAUUUCAAAGUAAUGAAGACGGG